UCUCCGUAGGUGAACCUGCGGAGGGAUCAUUACUGAGUGAGGGCUUCGGUCCGACCUCCAACCCUUUGUGAACCAAACUUGUUGCUUCGGGGGCGACCCUGCCGCUUCGGCGGUGGCGCUCCCGGUGGACCACCCAACCCUGCAUCGUUGCGUCUGAGUCGAAAUAUAAAUCAAUCAAAACUUUCAACAACGGAUCUCUUGGUUCUGGCAUCGAUGAAGAACGCAGC
This 227-nucleotide unclassified non-coding RNA is filed under the name uncultured fungus. Its description in RNAcentral is "sequence contains ITS1, 5.8S rRNA gene". The stretch from base 179 to 227 matches the Rfam family "5.8S ribosomal RNA", at positions 1 to 49 of the family's 154-position model. Lineage: Eukaryota; Fungi. The record is from RNAcentral.